RNAcentral lists this ribosomal RNA (298 nucleotides) under Usofila sp. MR71. Its description in RNAcentral is "partial 12S ribosomal RNA". The record is from RNAcentral. Lineage: Eukaryota; Metazoa; Arthropoda; Arachnida; Araneae; Telemidae.
UGGUAGUUCAAAUUUUACAGUAAACCAACAAAUUUUGGCAGUAUUAUUUUUUAUUAAAGAAACUUAUUUUUUAAUCGACAAUACACGAUACAUCUUUCCUAAAAAAUUGUUUUUAUACCGUCGUCUUAAGAAUUUUUUACCUUAUUAAUUUUAAAGUCAGAUCAAGGUGAAACUCAUUUUUAGGAUAAAACUAGUCUCUUUAAAUAAAAUUUAAUUUUAAAAUUUUAAUAAAUUUUAUAAAAGAAUUUAAAUUCAUUUUAAAAUCAUUAUUUUUAACAGAAUAAACAAAUUAAUAUGC